This is a long non-coding RNA of Drosophila albomicans, 588 nucleotides long. RefSeq lists it as uncharacterized. The transcript is spliced from 2 exons. The record is from RefSeq and is a predicted model, not a curated record. NCBI's taxonomy places the organism in Eukaryota, Metazoa, Arthropoda, Insecta, Diptera, Drosophilidae.
GUGGCAUAAAGUCCAAAAUUUCAUGGAAGAAAAUCUGAAUUUUUUUUUUAUAUAUUUAAACUAGAUACCCUAGAUAGAAAGUAUCAAUAAAUAUUUUGUCAAAAAUGCAAUCUUGCAAUUUUUACAGAUGUUUAAAGUCAGGUGAUUGAGCAGCUGAUUUUUGUGACAAAAUUGGCGGGAAAUUUUUAAUAACUUUGAGCGCUUGGCAAAUCUAAACUAAACAAUAUUUUUCUAUUAUUUAAAAUGGAUAUUAAAGUUGGAGGUAUGUUAAUUACGAAUAAUAAACACAGUUUGUGUGGUAAUUUGUUUAACGUUAUAUAUUUGUACUGUUUUGUGUUGUCCAAGGAAAUCAAAAAGCUGACAAAAGUGUUCGUCUUCUGUAGAGGAAAAAAAGGUGUUCUGCGUAUUUGUGCGUUGUUUAAUAUGUGCUUGAAUUCUGUCACGCCACGUUGCUGGACGUGUGGAUGGACAGCGGGCGCCACUCUUCCGCGCUGGUUGAACUUGUAUUUGGUCAAAUAGAUGAAUGUACACUGAGUGACGACAAAAAAGAGAGCAAUAAAUAAAAAAAAAAAAAAAAAAAAAAAAAAA